Molecule: long non-coding RNA, 2444 nt
Filed under: Macaca fascicularis (crab-eating macaque)
Lineage: Eukaryota; Metazoa; Chordata; Mammalia; Primates; Cercopithecidae
Description: lncRNA (ENSMFAG00000065550.1)
Source: RNAcentral
UCUCUGAAAGAGCAGCCCCGAUGCUCUUCUGUCACCAGAUAACAUCUGGCCAUAACAUCCACUCAUUUUCCCAAAGCAUCCUCCUCUGUCGGUACAACGAGGAGGAGGUGAUCCACCCCUUGCUCCACACCCCCAGCUGCAGCCAAACUGCAGGAGAAGGGCGGGUGGUGGUCCGCACACUUCCUACCCCCGACUCCAGGUGACGCUGAGCCUGGGGCUUACCUCAUGAAGUCUAGUGAUUUGACUGAGGAUGACUCCGAGCAAAACCGUGACUCUCUCCCCAAAACCGUGACUCUCUCCCCUUAACUAGCUGGUGCUCCUGGGCACAACUUUUCCUCCCCGAGCCUCAGUUUUCUCCUCUGUAAAUGAGUAUAACAAUAUUGCAACAGAUAAUGGAUGCCCAAAGCCUGGCACAGAGAACGCACUCAACCGAUGGGCUGGCACUACGGUUAGCAGCAAAUUCAGACCCUGGGGAGGCUCAAAGAAAACGAGACUCCCUCUCUGCGCGCCGGAGCCCAAAGAUAGACGCUCAGGGCGCGCACCCUGCCCAAGCCCGGGGAAGCUAAAGGUGUCUGCGCGUCGAGUGCUGGGGCCACAGUGUGGAGAGGGGAGCGAUGCCCCCGAGCGAGCCGCGCUCCUCCACCCUCCCCAGGCCAUCCGCGUCGCUAGGGUACCCAAGCGCGCCCAUCUCAAGCCGCCGGCUCCAGGGGUCCCGGCAGCCCUGCAGGGCUGCCCGGAUCCCAGUCUGGUCAGCGCGGAGCCUCGCCCAGCUGCUGCGGCCCCGCUCUCGCCCAAGCCCGCGCCCAGCUGCGACUCACCGGCGCCGGCUCCGGGGAAAGUUUGGUGGCGCGGUAGCAGCGGCGGCCAGGCUGCUGGGUGUGCCCCGAGGGCGGCGGCGGGGGCGCCGGGGAGCGCUCUGGGAGGCGGGGCGCGGGAGGAGGAGCCGCGCCGAGGGGGCCACCUGCGAGCAGCGGGGAAGGCGGGGACCGGGGCCCUGCGGGCCUGCAGCGCCCCAGCACCCGGCUCCACGCGCCCAGGGCCGCCCCCGCGGAGGGAGGGGGCACUAGGGACGCGCCUCUCGCUCGGACUCCCUUUCCCAGCUCGCGCCCCAGGUUUAGAGCUGCUACCGCUGGGUACCCUGGCUUGGGCUCUGCGCGGUGGACGGCUCCUUGGGUUUGGAAAGAGAGGUGGCAGAAGGGUCAGAACCUUGCCCAUCCUGAUGAACGAGCCCACAUUUCAAAAUGGGAUGUGUUUUAAUUAGCAUCCUGUGUCACCCCAGCAGCGACGUGAGGGGAGGAGUAGGGUGGGGGUGAGGCCGCUCCGCAGGUCCGCGGGAACCUGGGAGCUUGAGGAUUCUUCCUGGCUGCCUUCAUUUCCAGAGCUGGGAGAGAGAGAUCGAGUUUUUUUCUACCUCCUCGGCGCCGGGAAAACUCUAUUUGAACCUCUGAACAGUUAUGGCUUCAGAUUUUACCCUAGCACUUUCGAUGGGACCACCCAAGCUUACAGGGAGAGAAGGGUGUUUGAGAAGAUGGGACAUGGUGGGUUGGGGUGUGGGGGUGGGGGUCAGAGGGGUAUAUUAGCCUCCUUCCAGUAGGAGCGGUCCCACCAGCCCUGGUUGUGGACCACACAGAGCUGGGUCUGAGGCCCUGCUUCACAAGCCAUAUAUGGUAGGUCCAUGGUCCUUUUGCGUGGCCUCAGGGCCCAUGUUGGUAACAGGGAGGUUCAUAAAGACAGGUGCCAUUGUGCCAGAUGCUCUUCUAAGAGCUACAGGUGCUUACUCAUUUAAUCCUCACAACAACAAUAGGUCCUAGUAGGUAGGAACUAUUAUUACCCCUAUUUUACAGAUGAGGAAAUGAAGGCACAGCGAGAUUGAGUAACUUGCACAAGGUCACAUGUAGGAGAACCGAGCAUCCACCCUACGCAGCCUAGCCCCAAGGUCCAAGGUCCUGUUAUAUUAUAACUUCAUCUCUGUGGGGCUGUUGGAAAGUUUCACGAUGCCCUUUCUAUAAAGGGCUUAGUGCUCCAUAAAUGGUAGCUCAGAGAUCACUGAUCCCAUCUUCAAGGUGGGGAUUAAAGGACCUUGUGAUGCCCAGUGAUAUAUGAGACUUUGGCUUUGGGAUAAUGGCAGGCCAUGUCACUGUCCUGGGCAUUAUGGAUUCGCAAGGUCAGGGAUGUCCCAUUUGCUUUUUUGGCCAGCCCUUUGCACAUUAGCACAACCCCACAGCCAAGACUCACCCUGGAUCCACGAACGCCCUUUCCCACCCCCUGGUGAUUCUCCAGGGCCUCCAUAUUUUACACUUUACCAGACUAAUGCACCCUUUGGAACUGAGUUAACACUCAGGAUAGCAACUGUUAUAAACUCUAAAGAAAAUACAUUUCCUCUCUCUACAGCUGUGGAGCUUACGGGAGGUAAGGAGGGGAUGGAGGUGGGAGGAGGGAUGGGG